Small nuclear RNA from Onychomys torridus (southern grasshopper mouse), 104 nucleotides. The record is from RefSeq and is a predicted model, not a curated record. NCBI's taxonomy places the organism in Eukaryota, Metazoa, Chordata, Mammalia, Rodentia, Cricetidae.
AUGCUCACUUUGGCAGCACAUAUACUAAAAUCGGAAUGGUACAGAGAUUAGCACAACCCCUGUGUAAGGUUGACACAAAAAUUUGUGAAGCCUUCCCCACAACA